Molecule: long non-coding RNA, 392 nt
Filed under: Nicotiana benthamiana
Lineage: Eukaryota; Viridiplantae; Streptophyta; Magnoliopsida; Solanales; Solanaceae
Description: long non-coding RNA (NBEN_LNC032056)
Source: RNAcentral
UCCAAAGUGUAAGAGGGUAGCCCCUUUUAUAGUACAGAAAAUAGGUAAGAAUAAGGUAAGGAAAUAAUUUGAAAAUCAAUCAAAAGUUGUUUCCCGUUGGUUAAGGGAUUGAUUUCAAACGGGCAUGACAAAUAAGGAAAGGGCUUUGAUUUAAAAAAAGCUUUUCCAAGGCAAUAUAACAGGGCAAAUACAUAGAGAAUUAUUUAAGGAAAUAGCUUAGUAGCACACGGUUUGGACAAAAAUAAGGAAAGACAAUCAAUCACAGCCAGUAAAAAUCAAGGCUUGAGUCUUGAUACGAAUGAAUCCAACCAAGAAAGGUGAAGAGGAACUUAGUUUUAAAGAAAAAUCAUCAACACUCAAUCAGACCCCUUUAAAAAGGUCACAGAAUCAAU